AGUGAACGCUGGCGGUAGGCCUAACACAUGCAAGUCGGACGGCAGCACAGGAGAGCUUGCUCUCUGGGUGGCGAGUGGCGGACGGGUGAGGAAUACAUCGGAAUCUACUCUGUCGUGGGGGAUAACGUAGGGAAACUUACGCUAAUACCGCAUACGACCUACGGGUGAAAGCAGGGGACUUUCGGGCCUUGCGCGAUUGAAUGAGCCGAUGUCGGAUUAGCUAGUUGGCGGGGUAAAGGCCCACCAAGGCGACGAUCCGUAGCUGGUCUGAGAGGAUGAUCAGCCACACUGGAACUGAGACACGGUCCAGACUCCUACGGGAGGCAGCAGUGGGGAAUAUUGGACAUGGGCGCAAGCCUGAUCCAGCCAUACCGCGUGGGUGAAGAAGGCCUUCGGGUUGUAAAGCCCUUUUGUUGGGAAAGAAAUCCAGCUGGCUAAUACCCGGUUGGGAUGACGGUACCCAAAGAAUAAGCACCGGCUAACUUCGUGCCAGCCGCCGCGGUAA
RNAcentral lists this ribosomal RNA (505 nucleotides) under uncultured bacterium. Its description in RNAcentral is "partial 16S ribosomal RNA". It matches the Rfam family "Bacterial small subunit ribosomal RNA", at positions 29 to 523 of the family's 1533-position model. The record is from RNAcentral.